GGCAACGUGGCCCCAGGAACCCCACGUUCAUCAGUGCUCAGCAUUGGCUAAGCCUCUACUAGGAUUGGGCUUGCAUCAGACAGAUGCUUCCAGGCUGGGUCACAAAUCCUCCCCUCUUGCUGGGGUUCCAUAGAUCCCAGUGCCCGCAACGUGCACAGCUCCUCAUCCCUGAGGCCAGCAGAGACCCCAGGAGGGAUCUGCUGCCUGACGACCAGCUGACCCCUCACCAUGUGUAGACCGGCAGCCUGGUGAGGGCAGCUCCAGCUGGAGGCGGCUCUGGGAACAGCUCCAGGAUGAAGCUAGCCCCGAGUGCUAGCUGGUGACGCUGCCUUCCACGGAGGCCCCACCCAGCACAGUCUGAAGGGAGAAGGGAGCAUCUGGAACGAAGCAGAAUAGUGCCUCCUACCCCCACCGUUGGCAGGGCAGGCCUCCCUCAUUCCUGCCUUCCACUCUGCUUGGGAGCCUGGGCCCACCUCCCUCACCACCCAUCGUUUGAGCUGCACCUGUGGCUGGUCUCAUGACACAUGGAUUCCAAGCCUGCACACCCUGCGUUGGACAGGAGAUUGCCUGCUGAGUGGGCACCCACACCUGCACUCAGACCCUGCCUACCACCAGUCUCCCACGCCCACGGCCCAGCCUGCCAGUGCCCAAACACUGCUGGUUCUUCACCAUCCCAGGGCCUUUGCACCUGCUGUUCUUUCAACCUGGAAUGCCUGUCCUGUUCCUACCUACCUGGCAGUUCUCAGCCAUCCCUGAGGACUCACUCUCAACCCAGGCCCCCCAGCCUGCCAAGACACAGUCUCCCCUCCUGAUCCAGGAGAGAGAGGACCCCGCCCAGACUCUGGCCUAACACCUGUGCUUUUUGUCUGUCCUUCACCCUCUCCUGGUGCACCACGUGGCAGGGCCAUAUCUGAUUCCCUUUGUGGCCUAGGUCCUGAGGGCUCUGGGCCAGCCUGGCCAGGAUUGGGAUCCCCACCAGCUGUGUGGUUUGGUAAGUCACUUACUUCUCAGAGCAGCGGUCUGCACCUAAAGACCUUCCUGAUGGAGCCAAGGGGGCUGAGCAGGACGGCCUGACACAAAAGCCACCCCAGAAGGCACUGCCUUUCUUGUUGGCAUUAUUGGCAUGAGGGCAGUUUAACAAACACCAGUGCAGGGCGGACGCGUGGAGGUACAGGGCCCGGUGGGGGAGCUGAGAGCAGCUCUGUGGCUUUCUGCCACAGUUUCGAGUCUUGGAUGUCCUGUGGGCA
RNAcentral lists this long non-coding RNA (1247 nucleotides) under Equus caballus (horse). RNAcentral describes it as "lncRNA (ENSECAG00000049758.1)". The record is from RNAcentral. Lineage: Eukaryota; Metazoa; Chordata; Mammalia; Perissodactyla; Equidae.